This 369-nucleotide long non-coding RNA is filed under the name Vicia faba (fava bean). Lineage: Eukaryota; Viridiplantae; Streptophyta; Magnoliopsida; Fabales; Fabaceae. The record is from RNAcentral.
AUGGCUUUCUCUGAUAGGGGCUCGCUUCUUCAAGCUCCGCCCAACCUAUACAAGGUGUUGCUCGCUUUCUCUCAGCCACCAGUGGCUUAUGUAGUGGCAUUCCUACGUGCUCCUCUUUGCCCCCUACUUAAGAAUCCAAAGGUGACCUUUGGCUGUUGUCUUGACGCUUUGGUUACGAAAGUUUCGAGGGUGGGUUCAUUGAUUAGUACACCUCCGGUGCUGAUAAGGUCGGGACCGUGGUCGUCCGUCUCAGGUUUGCCGGCCGAUAAGAUCUCUGAGAUUGACCAGCCAGCUGGGUUGGUUUGGCUAUUCCUUUCUAUUGAAAAGAAGGAGUCAGCUGUCUGCGUGAGUCACCUUCUUCUAGGAUCC